RNAcentral lists this long non-coding RNA (1182 nucleotides) under Heterocephalus glaber (naked mole-rat). Its description in RNAcentral is "lncRNA (ENSHGLG00100049269.1)". Lineage: Eukaryota; Metazoa; Chordata; Mammalia; Rodentia; Bathyergidae. The record is from RNAcentral.
CGCCGGCCACUAUGCCUACUUUUCUAAGGAUUGUCUCUUUAUGAGGCCUGGGUUUACCUGUUUGUUUUUGGUUUAAAUGUCCUUUUGUAGAACUUGAACACACAGCAAAGAGAACACUGUCAUAGACUCCCUGACUGCUAAAUCUUCCCUCCAACAUAAAAUAUCACUCCCCUCGCCUUCUGGGACACCCACAGCUUUCACGUAAAGGUCCAAGGCCGUGGCACGGGACACGCUUAGCGUGACCCACGCCCAGCCCACCAUAUGCCUGCACCUGCACCGAACCCCCACUUGGCCAGUGCUCAAAUGGUCACCGGGAAGUCACUGCGGUCACCGCGGCAACUAGCGAAUGGGGGGGGAGUGCCUGCUGCUUUUGAAAGUGAGCACGGGGGAACUGCUUCCCUGCUAGGCCAGAAUCUCCUCGGAAACUCCACCGUUUGUCCUUGCUGAGCUUCCGUAAUGAACUCUGAUACAGCCCUAGAGGAAUCUUGUUACAUAAUUCGUCUCUCUUUUUUUUUUUUUUUUUUUUUCUUUAAAUAGGUUCUCACUAAGUUGCCCAGGCUGGCCUGGAACUCGAGAGCGAUCCUCCUGCCUCAGCUUCCCCUGUGGUGGGAUGACAGGCGUGCGCCACACCGUCUGCUUUAUAAUUCGGUUUUACUUGCCCUCUCUUUUCCUUUGUGGCAGCCCCCGGACCUGGGGACAGGGAGGGGAGUCCGUGCGUCGCGCGAGGGCCGAGAGGGUGGCCGACAGCACAACAUCCCCUUGCCCCCUCGCGUGAUGGCCAAGCAAAACCCGGGGUCAAGGAGCAGCUUCUUUGGGGUCCUGUUUGUCCCCUCCCCUGGGGCCGGGAAGGCCAAACAGAGGUGGUGCGUGCUUGUUUGUCUAAUAGCGGGGCUGUUGUCACAGUGUCCCAGGGACGUAAGGAAGCUGCCAGCACCCAAAGCGGCGGGGGACACGGGGAACCCGCCAGCCCACAAAGGCCUGGGUGCGCCACGCAGCGCCUCCCCCUCCCCAGUCCCUGGCGUCCCCGAGGGCCAGGGGGGGGACCAGGAGGGGGAGGGCCCAGAGCCCAGGGUCCCAGGCUGCAAAGGGGCCAGGAAGAGGAGCCCCAAAGGACAUCUGUCCCCCCAUCCCUCCAGGCCGUGCAACCUGCGCGUCCCCCAAAACUGGGGGUGGCCAGGGAGG